This 456-nucleotide ribosomal RNA is filed under the name Heratemis pahangensis. Its description in RNAcentral is "eukaryotic LSU rRNA". The record is from RNAcentral. Lineage: Eukaryota; Metazoa; Arthropoda; Insecta; Hymenoptera; Braconidae.
AAACCGUUCAGGGGUAAACCUGAGAAACCCAAAAGAUCGAAUGGGGAGAUUCAUCGUCAGCUCAUUUUGUAUAUAUAUGAGGUAUGAUAUGGGUUACUACUUGUAGUAUUGCUUAUACAUUCGUGUAUAUUUUAUUGCAAGAUGUUGUCGGCGUGCACUUCUCCCCUAGUAGGACGUCGCGACCCGUUGAGUGUCGGUUUACGGCUCAAGAGGUAGCCUUUAAUUUUUUUAUAAAAUAAAAGACCCUUGGUGUUUCCUGACUGGCUACUCGGCGGUAUUCGUACGGUAUUAAGCCGCAUUUUUGCGUUCAUAUCCGUCGCAAGCGCGGUCAAUUUUUGGCAGUACGGACCUAGUGCCGUCGCUAUUAUUGAUCAGCUGUUGGUUGUACGGUGUUCUAGAACUGGCUUAUAAUUAAUAUACCGGUCAGCGAUGCUUCAGCUUUGGGUACUUUCAGGA